UGGGGAAUAUUGCACAAUGGGCGCAAGCCUGAUGCAGCCAUGCCGCGUGUGUGAAGAAGGCCUUCGGGUUGUAAAGCACUUUCAGCGGGGAGGAAGGCGAUAAGGUUAAUACCUUUGCUCAUUGACGUUACCCGCAGAAGAAGCACCGGCUAACUCCGUGCCAGCAGCCGCGGUAAUACGGAGGGUGCAAGCGUUAAUCGGAAUUACUGGGCGUAAAGCGCACGCAGGCGGUUUGUUAAGUCAGAUGUGAAAUCCCCGGGCUCAACCUGGGAACUGCAUCUGAUACUGGCAAGCUUGAGUCUCGUAGAGGGGGGUAGAAUUCCAGGUGUAGCGGUGAAAUGCGUAGAGAUCUGGAGGAAUACCGGUGGCGAAGGCGGCCCCCUGGACGAAGACUGACGCUCAGGUGCGAAAGCGUGGGGAGCAAACAGG
Molecule: ribosomal RNA, 429 nt
Filed under: Chloroflexota bacterium
Lineage: Bacteria; Bacillati; Chloroflexota
Description: Chloroflexi bacterium partial 16S ribosomal RNA
Rfam family: Bacterial small subunit ribosomal RNA
Source: RNAcentral